AGUGGAAGCGUCUGGAAAGGCGCGCGAUACAGGGUGACAGCCCCGUACACAAAAGCGCAUGUGCUGUGAGCUCGAUGAGUAGGGCGGGACACGUGGUAUCCUGUCUGAAUAUGGGGGGACCAUCCUCCAAGGCUAAAUACUCCUGACUGACCGAUAGUGAACCAGUACCGUGAGGGAAAGGCGAAAAGAACCCCGGCGAGGGGAGUGAAAAAGAACCUGAAACCGUGUACGUACAAGCAGUGGGAGCACCCUUUGGGGUGUGACUGCGUACCUUUUGUAUAAUGGGUCAGCGACUUAUAUUCUGUAGCAAGGUUAACCGUAUAGGGGAGCCGYAGGGAAACCGAGUCUUAACCGGGCGUUAAGUUGCAGGGUAUAGACCCGAAACCCGGUGAUCUAGCCAUGGGCAGGUUGAAGGUUGGGUAACACUAACUGGAGGACCGAACCGACUAAUGUUGAAAAAUUAGCGGAUGACCUGUGGCUGGGGGUGAAAGGCCAAUCAAACCGGGAGAUAGCUGGUUCUCCCCGAAAGCUAUUUAGGUAGCGCCUCGUGAAUUCAUCUCCGGGGGUAGAGCACUGUUUCGGCUAGGGGGCCAUCCCGGCUU
This 602-nucleotide ribosomal RNA is filed under the name Salmonella enterica. RNAcentral describes it as "partial 23S ribosomal RNA". The record is from RNAcentral. Lineage: Bacteria; Pseudomonadati; Pseudomonadota; Gammaproteobacteria; Enterobacterales; Enterobacteriaceae.